UACAGAGGUCCCAAGCGUUGUUCGGAUUCACUGGGCGUAAAGGGUGCGUAGGCGGUCGGGUAAGUCUGAUGUGAAAUCUCCAAGCCUAACUUGGAAACUGCAUUGGAUACUAUCCGGCUAGAGGAAUGGAGGGGAGACUGGAAUACUUGGUGUAGCAGUGAAAUGCGUAGAUAUCAAGUGGAACACCAGUGGCGAAGGCGAGUCUCUGGACAUUUCCUGACGCUGAGGCACGAAAGCCAGGGGAGCAAACGGG
Molecule: ribosomal RNA, 253 nt
Filed under: uncultured bacterium
Lineage: Bacteria
Description: partial 16S ribosomal RNA
Rfam family: Bacterial small subunit ribosomal RNA
Source: RNAcentral